GUCAGGUGUGGUGGUGCAUGCCUGUAUUCCCAGCUACUCAGGAGGCUGAGGCAGAAGAAUCGCUUGAACCCAGGAGGUGGAGUUUGCAGUGAGCGGAGAUAGCGCCACUGCACUCCAGCCUGGGUGACAGAGCGAGACUCUGUCUCAA
RNAcentral lists this non-coding RNA (148 nucleotides) under Nomascus leucogenys (northern white-cheeked gibbon). The record is from Rfam by way of RNAcentral. Lineage: Eukaryota; Metazoa; Chordata; Mammalia; Primates; Hylobatidae.